UUUUUAUGUUAGUUGAAAUCCUAUGAAUCAUUGUGAACCAGUUAUCAUAUCCAAUGCAAACAACCAGUGAUGAGGCUAUGCCCAAUUUUUUUAUUACACAAUUAAAAAAGUAAAAUACAACAUGCAAAUCCAUUCAUCUCACAUCAUUAUUUUCUUUAUUCAAUAAUUUCUCUAUUAGGAGAAUGGUCUGACACUGAAGGCCUAGGGACUUGCCGGGGGUGAAGGUGGUGUUAUUUCUGGGACACGGUAACGUGCAAAAUUUUAGUUUUGGCAUUAUAACGAUGAACUAGAGAAAUUAAAUAAAGUAUGUAUAUAUUUAUAUGAAAAUAUAACAACCUGCAAAGUUGCUGUGUGUGUGCAAACCGUUGCCGCAUGCACGUGUAACCGUGGCAAACUUGGAGAGACUGAUCAAAGUCAGUUCAUGAGCGGUGAAGCGGUCACAGACGCAGUGGAUGUCUUUGGCAUCUUUUAUUGUAUGACAACACGGGCUCUCUAGUGGCGGGUACCGGUCACCAAGGCUCUUUUCGAUGUUAUGCCAACAGUCUCGCAUCACCUUUUUUUUGUCAAGGAGGCAGUGGUCUACCUGGUUGACUUCUCGUGCAUAGCACGAACAAGAAGAGAGAGCGACAAGGACUAGGAAGCAUACUCCAGCUAAUUUUGCGUUGUUCAUGUUCUAUGUUGUGUAGUACUAUUG
Molecule: long non-coding RNA, 694 nt
Filed under: Hordeum vulgare
Lineage: Eukaryota; Viridiplantae; Streptophyta; Magnoliopsida; Poales; Poaceae
Description: long non-coding RNA (HVUL_LNC021066)
Source: RNAcentral